This 72-nucleotide transfer RNA is filed under the name Candidatus Roizmanbacteria bacterium RIFCSPHIGHO2_12_FULL_38_13. Its description in RNAcentral is "tRNA-Met". It matches the Rfam family "tRNA". From Rfam's summary of the family: Transfer RNA (tRNA) molecules are approximately 80 nucleotides in length. Their secondary structure includes four short double-helical elements and three loops (D, anti-codon, and T loops). Further hydrogen bonds mediate the characteristic L-shaped molecular structure. tRNAs have two regions of fundamental functional importance: the anti-codon, which is responsible for specific mRNA codon recognition, and the 3' end, to which the tRNAs corresponding amino acid is attached (by aminoacyl-tRNA synthetases). tRNAs cope with the degeneracy of the genetic code in two manners: having more than one tRNA (with a specific anti-codon) for a particular amino acid; and 'wobble' base-pairing, i.e. permitting non-standard base-pairing at the 3rd anti-codon position. Lineage: Bacteria; Candidatus Roizmaniibacteriota. The record is from RNAcentral. RNAcentral also lists the same sequence under 1 other name.
GCCAGCAUAGCUCAGUGGCAGAGCACACGUUUCAUAAGCGUAAGGUCAGAGGUUCGAAUCCUCUUGCUGGCA